This 459-nucleotide ribosomal RNA is filed under the name uncultured bacterium. RNAcentral describes it as "partial 16S ribosomal RNA". It matches the Rfam family "Bacterial small subunit ribosomal RNA", at positions 338 to 795 of the family's 1533-position model. The record is from RNAcentral.
CCUACGUGUGGCAGCAGUGAGGAAUAUUGGUCCAUGGGCGCGCGCCUGAACCCGCCAAGUCGCGUGAGGGAAGACGGUCCUAUGGAUUGUAAACCUCUUUUGUCGGGGCGCAAAAGACGCCACGCGUGGCGUUCCGCGAGUACCCGAAGAAAAAGCAUCGGCUAACUCCGUGCCAGCAGCCGCGGUAAUACGUGGUAUGCGAUCGUUCUCCGGAUUUAUUGGGGGUAAAGGGUGCGCAGGCGGAAGAUCAAGUCGGCGGUAAAAUUGAGAGGCUCAACCUCUUCGAGCCGUUGACACUGGUUUUCUUGAGUGAGCGAGAAGUAUGCGGAAUGCGUGGGGUAGCGGUGAAAGGCAUAGAUAUCACGCAGAACUCCGAUUGCGAAGGCAGCAUACCGGCGCUCAACUGACGCUCAUGCACGAAAGUGUGGGUAUCGAACAGGAUUAGAUACCCGUGUAGUC